GUGGGAAUAGCUCAGUGGUAGAGCAUAUGCUUAGCAUGCACAGGGUUCUGGGUUCAAUCCCCAGUCCCUCCA
This 72-nucleotide transfer RNA is filed under the name Camelus bactrianus (Bactrian camel). It matches the Rfam family "tRNA". From Rfam's summary of the family: Transfer RNA (tRNA) molecules are approximately 80 nucleotides in length. Their secondary structure includes four short double-helical elements and three loops (D, anti-codon, and T loops). Lineage: Eukaryota; Metazoa; Chordata; Mammalia; Artiodactyla; Camelidae. RNAcentral also lists the same sequence under 2 other names. The record is from Rfam by way of RNAcentral.